UUUGGUCGAAAACCUAAGGUUUCCUGGGGAAGGCUCGUCCGCCCAGGGUUAGUCGGGACCUAAGCUGAGGCCGAUAGGCGUAGGCGAUGGACAAUCGGUUGAUAUUCCGAUACCACUACAACGCGUUAUUACCGAUGGGGUGACGCAGGAGGAUAGGAUGUGCUCACUAUUGGAUGUGGGUCUAAGUACUUAGGCAGAGCAGAUAGGCAAAUCCGUUUGCUCAAUGCUGAGGUGCGAUGGGGAGCGAAGUUUAGUAGCGAAGUAUCUGAUUCCACGCUGCCAAGAAAAGCCUCUAGGGAGUGAAGUAGUGCCCGUACCGCAAACCGACACAGGUAGGUGAGGAGAGAAUCCUAAGACCAGCGGAAGAAUUGCAGUUAAGGAACUCGGCAAAUUGACCCCGUAACUUCGGGAGAAGGGGUGCCUACGAGAGUAGGUCGCAGAGAAUAGGCCCAAGCAACUGUUUAGCAAAAACACAGGUCUCUGCUAAAGCGAAAGCUGAUGUAUAGGGGCUGACGCCUGCCCGGUGCUGGAAGGUUAAGGGGAUUGCUUAGCGCAAGCGAAGGCAUGAACUUAAGCCCCAGUAAACGGCGGCCGUAACUAUAA
RNAcentral lists this non-coding RNA (603 nucleotides) under Clostridium sp. N3C. RNAcentral describes it as "Bacterial large subunit ribosomal RNA". It matches the Rfam family "Bacterial large subunit ribosomal RNA", at positions 1332 to 1945 of the family's 2925-position model. The record is from Rfam by way of RNAcentral. Lineage: Bacteria; Bacillati; Bacillota; Clostridia; Eubacteriales; Clostridiaceae.